UACAGAGGUCUCAAGCGUUGUUCGGAUUCAUUGGGCGUAAAGGGUGCGUAGGCGGCGCGGUAAGUCGGGUGUGAAAUCUCGGAGCUUAACUCCGAAACUGCAUUCGAUACUGCCGUGCUUGAGGACUGGAGAGGAGACUGGAAUUUACGGUGUAGCAGUGAAAUGCGUAGAUAUCGUAAGGAAGACCAGUGGCGAAGGCGAGUCUCUGGACAGUUGCUGACGCUGAGGCACGAAGGCCAGGGGAGCAAACGGG
Molecule: ribosomal RNA, 253 nt
Filed under: uncultured bacterium
Lineage: Bacteria
Description: partial 16S ribosomal RNA
Rfam family: Bacterial small subunit ribosomal RNA
Source: RNAcentral